Molecule: long non-coding RNA, 416 nt
Filed under: Carica papaya (papaya)
Lineage: Eukaryota; Viridiplantae; Streptophyta; Magnoliopsida; Brassicales; Caricaceae
Description: long non-coding RNA (CPAP_LNC005107)
Source: RNAcentral
AAGGUAUAUGAAAUAAAUGCUCACAAUAAAUUGUAGAACCACCUUAAACAUAUAAAUAGCACCAUAAUCUAUACAACACUAAAUUUAAGAGAUCAAAUCAUCACUACAAAGGGGGCAGAGUCGGUAAAAUUGAUCAAGCAAAUUGGUGGCACCCACGCUUCCACAGCCUAAACUCUCCAAUCAAUCAAUUUAACUUUACUUCCUCCAUUGAAACUAGUCAUACUCGAACAUAAUAAUAUGAAGACAUGUAAGAUGGCCACUAGAGAAGUCGAGACAUUCAUCUGGUCUGCACUAUAUAUCUUUAACCUCUUAAUUGCGUUAAUGCUGAGACCCUUAUUGAGUUGACUUAGAUAGAAAGCUCCAUGUUCACUUAUUCCCCUCUUGCAGCCUUCCUUUAUUUCAUUGUUGAAAUUGAA